This 497-nucleotide ribosomal RNA is filed under the name uncultured bacterium. Its description in RNAcentral is "partial 16S ribosomal RNA". It matches the Rfam family "Bacterial small subunit ribosomal RNA", at positions 28 to 507 of the family's 1533-position model. The record is from RNAcentral.
GAUGAACGCUGGCGGCGUGCCUAAUACAUGCAAGUCGAGCGAACAGACGAGGAGCUUGCUCCUCGGACGUUAGCGGCGGACGGGGUAGUAACACGUGGAUAACCUACCUAUAAGACUGGGAUAACUUCGGGAAACCGGAGCUAGUACCGGAUAAUAUAUUGAACCGCGUGGUUCAUUAGUGAAAGACGGUUUUGCUUUCACUUAUAGAUUGAUCCGCGCCGCAUUAGCUAGUUGUUAAGGUGACGGCUUACCAAGGCAGCGAUGGGUAGCCGACCUGAGAGGGUGGUCGGCCAGCCUGGAUGUGAGGAAGGCUACAGACUCCUACAGGAGGACGCAGUAGGGAAUCUUCCGCGAUGGGGGAGAGCCUGACGGAGCAACGCCGCGUGAGUGAUGAAGGUCUUCGGAUCGUAAAACUAUGUUAUUAGGGAAGAACAAAUGUGUAAGUAACUAUGCACGUCUUGACGGUACCUAAUCAGAAAGCCACGGCUAACUACGUG